Junco hyemalis (dark-eyed junco) is the source of this 2106-nucleotide long non-coding RNA. The record is from Ensembl. NCBI's taxonomy places the organism in Eukaryota, Metazoa, Chordata, Aves, Passeriformes, Passerellidae.
CGGCGGGGAUUGCUGCAAGGGGCAUUGCUUUGUCUGCCGGGGACGUGCAGGUUCCGCCGCGGCUCUCCCGGGCCGCUGGAAGGCGCCUCAGCGGGGCCGAGCCCCGCGCCGCCGCGGCCCCGGGCCGAACCCCUGGGCCCCGCGGCCCCGGGCUGAGGCGAGGCGAAGCACCGGCCCCGGCCCCGGCCCCGCGGGUCUGGUGUGUGCACCUGCAGGAACGACGGGCAGGGGCUCGAGAAAGCCUACACCAAAUACAGGUCUGGAAAGUUUUUCCAGAAAACCUCUAAUUUUCCCCAUUCACGAAGCGGGCGAGGGUUUCCUGUCGGGUUUCCAUGUUGGUGGAGCUGGCAGAAAAACUCAGUCACACCCAGGUGCCGCCUGUCCUUGGCAUGGGCAGGCACUGUUUGCCUGCUCCACAAAGUUUUUGCAGGAUCAGCAAAAGUGUCCAGCUGGCUCAAGGCAAGUCUGCCUAGUGCAGUACCCUGUUCCUGGCAGGAGCCAGCACCAUGCCAGAAGGGUUGAAAAAGACAGAAAGAAUCCUGCAGCAUUCAGAAGCAACAUCUAUGCUGGCUUCUUGAUCUUUGGAAGCCCGAUAUUGAUCGAAGUCUGGGAGCAUGGAAUCUAACAUCUCUUUCACAGAAUGCACCAGAAAGUGGCUGUUCCACAGUAGGAAAGUCAACAUUUCCUCAAAACUCCCCACUGUUAUUGAUAAACUGGGACCCUCAUAACCAGAGAAGUGAGAAGAAACAACCUGAACUGCACAGAAGACAAAACUGAAAUGCAGUGGUUGAAGCUCAGCAUCUUUCUGUUGCACAGCUUUGAGAAGAACUGAGCACACACAAUUCCUUCUCCUGUUGUUUUCCUAUUUGUCAUUCAGUUUAGAUGUUCUUUCAGUAAAACUCUGUGAUGUUACUUUAUAUUAGUUUUAUUAAAUAUAUUAGCAAUACAAUCCAAACUACCAGCUCCCUCCCUCUCCCUGCACAUUAAUCCUUUCAAGAUUAAAAUUCACAUACAAGUUGCAACACCGUGAGCAGAGAAUUGCAUUCAGUAAUGGUGAAUGGAUUACGCAUUCCAACAACGUAAACUGCAAAAAAAAGACAUUUAAAGCAUAACUGAGUCAUUCAGCAGCACGCUCCCCUCCUCUCAUGACUUCCCUUUGUUGCCCUCAGUUCCGUCCCUUCUGCCGUUUCUGGUUUUUUGCCCUUAUUUUGAGAGCCUGACUGAGGGCAUCGCUUUCCACCAUCAGCCCGCGAGGCCGUGUGAAGGCAGCCAGAUCUGCAGCCCGCCUGUUUUGCCCACCGCCAGCCGGGUGGUGUUCCUGCACACCUGGAACAGCUGCUCUGGGCACAGCUCACACGCACCAGCUCCUCCAAGGCAUCACCACAAGUGGCCAUGCCCAGCCACCAUGGCUCAGUUCCUCCGGCCCCAGCUCACCUGGUGCAGUGGUGCAGGAAAGUGAGGUGCCUUCCUGCUGGGUUUGGGUGGUGAAGCCACAGGCUCUUAUCCUGUAAACAUAGGUGGUGUUCGGUGGUGCUUGUGGGCUGUGGCAGAAAAGGGUGGUGCUGUGCAGUCCUGGGUUGGUUUAGGGUGGCUUGGGGCUGGGAGGCAGCCAGGGCAGAGAGAGGGGAGGGAAAUGCAGCCGCGGUGGUGAUGGAACAGGUGUUAUCCUGCUGCGGGCUGUGCCAGGGAGCCGUGUGCCUCAGGGCCUUCGCUCAGAGGUGUUUGUGUGGGAACAUAAUGGGAACACACGAACUUUUGCCAUUGUGACCCCUUCAUCCUGGAUGACUCAUGGAUGAGAUGGGGCAGAUACAUCCCUCCAGGAUUCUGGGAUUUCCUGCCCAGUCCGAUUGAAUGGAGAUAUCAUAGCCACUGGGUAGAUCCUCCAAGGAGAGAGCCUUAGUUGUGGCUUUUGUGUAGAAAACCAAGAGUAUGUUUUGCACAUGACUUUUAUUUUGAUGUUGAGGUCUGUGGAUCCGUGUCUAGAUUGUAUCGCUCUUUUUGUGCUGCUGUUGCAUGCAUAACCAGUUUUUCUUCGAAAUAUAAGAUUAAAGCUGCUCUAAUAAUAUAGGAAAUAAAAAAGACACAGGUAAAAGUAUGUAUGUUUUU